AACGAACGCUGGCGGCGCGCCUAAUACAUGCAAGUCGAGCGAGAAGACGUAGCAAUACGUUUGUAAAGCGGCGAACGGGUGAGGAAUACAUGGGUAACCUACCCUCGAGUGGGGAAGUAACUAGCCGAAAGGUUAGCUAAUACCGCGUACGCUCCUUGGACUUCGGUUCAGGGAGGAAAGCGAUACCGUGGGUAUCGCGCUCUUGGAUGGGCUCAUGUCCUAUCAGCUUGUUGGUGAGGAACGGCUCACCAAGGCUUCGACGGGUAGCUGGUCUGAGAGGACGAUCAGCCACACUGGCACUGCGACACGGGCCAGACUCCUACGGGAGGCAGCAGUAAGGAUAUUGCGCAAUGGGCGAAAGCCUGACGCAGCGA
This 374-nucleotide ribosomal RNA is filed under the name uncultured bacterium. RNAcentral describes it as "bacterial SSU rRNA". It matches the Rfam family "Bacterial small subunit ribosomal RNA", at positions 29 to 394 of the family's 1533-position model. The record is from RNAcentral.